UACGAAGGGGGCUAGCGUUGUUCGGAUUUACUGGGCGUAAAGCGCACGUAGGCGGGUCGUUAAGUCAGGGGUGAAAUCCCGGAGCUCAACUCCGGAACUGCCUUUGAUACUGGCGACCUUGAGGCUGGAAGAGGUUAGUGGAAUUCCCAGUGUAGAGGUGAAAUUCGUAGAUAUUGGGAAGAACACCAGUGGCGAAGGCGGCUAACUGGUCCAGAUCUGACGCUGGGGUGCGAAAGCGUGGGGAGCAAACAGG
Molecule: ribosomal RNA, 253 nt
Filed under: uncultured bacterium
Lineage: Bacteria
Description: partial 16S ribosomal RNA
Rfam family: Bacterial small subunit ribosomal RNA
Source: RNAcentral